Molecule: ribosomal RNA, 95 nt
Filed under: Nannospalax galili (Upper Galilee mountains blind mole rat)
Lineage: Eukaryota; Metazoa; Chordata; Mammalia; Rodentia; Spalacidae
Source: RNAcentral
GAUUUUGUCUAUACCAUCCUUAAUAUACCUGUUCUCAUAUGAUCUCAGAAACCAUGUAGGGUCAGAUCUAGUUAGCAUUUGGAUGGGAGAUAUUU